CAGAACCUUAAGUUAACAAAACUAAUGGCUUUCAAAGCCUUAAACAUAGGUUUAAUUCCUAUAGGCUCUGA
RNAcentral lists this transfer RNA (71 nucleotides) under Cornufer vitianus (Fiji ground frog). RNAcentral's name for it is "Platymantis vitianus (Fiji ground frog) tRNA-Trp". It matches the Rfam family "tRNA". Rfam says of the family: Transfer RNA (tRNA) molecules are approximately 80 nucleotides in length. The record is from RNAcentral. Lineage: Eukaryota; Metazoa; Chordata; Amphibia; Anura; Ceratobatrachidae.